This is a long non-coding RNA of Chelonia mydas (Green sea turtle), 820 nucleotides long. RefSeq lists it as uncharacterized. The record is from RefSeq and is a predicted model, not a curated record. NCBI's taxonomy places the organism in Eukaryota, Metazoa, Chordata, Testudines, Cheloniidae. The transcript is spliced from 2 exons.
CCACCUGGUAAACCAGGCAGGACUGGGCAGGUUCGGGGGGCUCCCCCUGCGGCGCCUCGGCUGCUAGUUGGCGUCUCAGCCCCGCGCGCUCCCCGGCUUCCACCCCGCCUCCAGCCCAGAGAAGUGUCUGGGAAGAGAAAAAGUUCUGAUCGUGUAAAAGCGUGGCAAGGCGGAAAAGAGCCAGAGAGCGGCGAAUCUGGCCCUGUCACCCCAGUAGCAGUGUCCCCCAUAGACGGCACCAAGAAGGAUCGCUGUCAUAUCUGCCACAUUGGGACAGCAAUCAGUCCUGCUAGGCACUGCUAUCCCCACUUUCUUUGCUUCGCAAGUUUGCAUAUGGUGUUAAACGAUUGCAUAGUGUUCAGUGGCAGACAUAUUUAACCCCUGACAUGCUUUACGUAGGCGGGGGUGGGGGAGGGGGGGAGGUGUUGCAAUUAAUGUUCUCAGACAUGGACUGGAAAGGGCCCUCUCCUCUCUGGAUGGCACAGGGUUAAAAUGUUUGCCUGCAGUGGGUACUAUCAAAGGUAAGCAAAAUAGCAACAAGGCAACUAAAUAAAGAAGGUGACAACACAGCAUCAAGAUGAAGCAACCACGCAGCCCAGUGUUGUUUCUAUGAAGUGAUGACAUCACCCAGACUUCUGAGAUGCAGUUUGCAAAACCACUGCCAAGGGAUUAGAUGUAUUUUUUUCUUGAAGUGGUUUUAAUGGAAUCUUGAAAUGCCAUUGUAAUUUAAGAUAUUAAGAGUUUCUCCUUUUAAACACUGGACUAUACUCCUGAAAAGGAGAAAUAAGUGAGUCUUGGUAAACAAAGAGAAAUAACAUUU